AACGAACGCUGGCGGCAUGCCUAACACAUGCAAGUCGAACGAGACCUUCGGGUCUAGUGGCGCACGGGUGCGUAACGCGUGGGAAUCUGCCCUUCGGUUGGGAAUAACUGAGAGAAAUUUCAGCUAAUAUCUUAUAAUGUCUCCGGACCAAAGAUUUAUCGCCGAGGGAUGAGCCCGCGUAGGAUUAGGUAGUUGGUGUGGUAAUGGCCUACCAAGCCGACGAUCCUUAGCUGGUCUGAGAGGAUGAUCAGCCACACUGGGACUGGGACACGGCCCAGAAUCCUACGGGAGGCAGCAGUGGGGAAUAUUGGACAGUGGGCGAAAGCCUGAUCCAGCAAUGCCGCGUGAGUGAUGAAGGCCUUAGGGUAGUAAAGCUCUUUUACCCGGGAUGAUAAUGACAGUACCGGAAGAAUAAGCUCCGGCUAACUCCGUG
This 433-nucleotide ribosomal RNA is filed under the name uncultured bacterium. RNAcentral's name for it is "partial 16S ribosomal RNA". It matches the Rfam family "Bacterial small subunit ribosomal RNA", at positions 29 to 507 of the family's 1533-position model. The record is from RNAcentral.